UAUUUGUAUGCAGUUUAUGUUACUGUUAUUAAGAUCUCUUUGUUUUACAUUACAAGCUGUUAGAAUUUCAUCCUACUUUUUGUCCAUAUACAUAUCAGCUUGUUUUUGCUCUGUUUGUUCUGAGUAAAGUUGAGGUGUUUCCUUAAAAAGCCCUGUAUUCUCACUAUAUCAUACUUUUUGAGCCAAAAACCUGAUGUAUCAAAUAUGGCACAAAACAUGAACACGCACAAAUUUUUAGUUCCAUUCCAGAAAAUUAUUUUUUUCUGCAUAUUAUUUCAUAGGCGAGGCUUUACAAGGUUAAAGUGAAUCUUUAACUUUAAAAUUAUCAUUUUGAAUUUUGUUUUCCAGGUUAAGCCAAAUAUGAAGCAAGCAGUGCCAUGUGUGGUGUCACCAUGCAAACGCAUCAUCACCACAAAGACAAUGACCUCUGAACCCAGACUCAGCCAAUCAGAGAGUGUUCAGGGAUUUGACUUCCUGUGGAUUGCUUGAGAAGGAAAAUGUUUUGUUGUUUUCAAUGUUUUUUACCCUUCUUUGUUUGUGAGAUAGAGAUGCAGUUUUAAGGGUCUGUGUUGCGGACCUGCUAGUUUGAAUAGUUAUUCUCGUUUGAAUAUUGUAGCUGAUUUUGUUCAAGUUUGAAAGCUUUUGAAAAACCGAUGCACCCAAAGACGUGUCAGAUCUGACCAGAACGAGACUAAAUGGACUGAGGUGGGAACGAAAUGGAACGGAACGCAAUAGAAAAUAGAUGCAUGAUUGAAGGACGAACGUGAUGAGUUGAUUGGCUGGCUGAGGUAUGUGGGCGUGGUUUGUUGGAUGUGGGUGUGGUCAUGUUGAUUUCAAGGACGCAGUUGCUGCAAAUGCAGUAUAAAUGACCUUCUAAAGGAACUAAAUUAAAGAAAGGGUCGAGUUCAGUACUGUAAUUUAUUUUCGAUUUACUUUUUUAUUUAUUUUCAGUAGACGGACAGCAUUUUAGCAGCUUUUCCAUGUACAUUCGAGGAAAUAUUUUGGUCGUUUCAAAUAUUUGAGUUCAGAUUUUCAAGUCCAAUUCAGCAUUUAUGUAUAUUUAAGAUCAGAUUUAUUUAGUUUUACAGAUUUUCAAAUAG
Molecule: long non-coding RNA, 1100 nt
Filed under: Sinocyclocheilus grahami
Lineage: Eukaryota; Metazoa; Chordata; Actinopteri; Cypriniformes; Cyprinidae
Description: lncRNA (ENSSGRG00000053960.1)
Source: RNAcentral